Molecule: non-coding RNA, 125 nt
Filed under: Fragilariopsis kerguelensis
Lineage: Eukaryota; Bacillariophyta; Bacillariophyceae; Bacillariales; Bacillariaceae
Source: RNAcentral
CCGUCCUCCUCCCGAUGCUCUGCGGCUUUAUUCUUCGAUUUUUCCACGAGUUGCGCGACUUCUGCUCCGGUGUCGGCCGUCGAGAGGCGUCAUUCAUAUACUCCCUUUUCCUAUUCGUAGUUUGG